CCUACGGGAGGCUGCAGUGGGGAAUAUUGGACAAUGGGCGAAAGCCUGAUCCAGCCAUGCCGCGUGUGUGAAGAAGGCCUUCGGGUUGUAAAGCACUUUCAGUGGGGAAGAAAGCCUUGGGGCUAAUACCCUCGAGGAAGGACAUCACCCACAGAAGAAGCACCGGCUAACUCCGUGCCAGCAGCCGCGGUAAUACGGAGGGUGCGAGCGUUAAUCGGAAUUACUGGGCGUAAAGCGCGCGUAGGCGGUCUGAUAAGCCGGUUGUGAAAGCCCCGGGCUCAACCUGGGAACGGCAUCCGGAACUGUCAGGCUAGAGUGCAGGAGAGGAAGGUAGAAUUCCCGGUGUAGCGGUGAAAUGCGUAGAGAUCGGGAGGAAUACCAGUGGCGAAGGCGGCCUUCUGGACUGACACUGACGCUGAGGUGCGAAAGCGUGGGUAGCAAACAGGAUUAGAUACCCUUGUAC
This 463-nucleotide ribosomal RNA is filed under the name Vreelandella stevensii. RNAcentral's name for it is "partial 16S ribosomal RNA". It matches the Rfam family "Bacterial small subunit ribosomal RNA", at positions 338 to 793 of the family's 1533-position model. The record is from RNAcentral. Lineage: Bacteria; Pseudomonadati; Pseudomonadota; Gammaproteobacteria; Oceanospirillales; Halomonadaceae.